GCCGAGGUGAUGAAACUGGCAAACAUUUGCGACUCAAAAUCGCAUGACCGUAAGGUCUUGAGGGUUCAAGUCCCUCCCUCGGCA
RNAcentral lists this transfer RNA (84 nucleotides) under Candidatus Nealsoniibacteriota bacterium. RNAcentral's name for it is "Candidatus Nealsonbacteria bacterium tRNA-Leu". It matches the Rfam family "tRNA". From Rfam's summary of the family: Transfer RNA (tRNA) molecules are approximately 80 nucleotides in length. Lineage: Bacteria; Candidatus Nealsoniibacteriota. The record is from RNAcentral.